This 1232-nucleotide long non-coding RNA is filed under the name Mus musculus (house mouse). RNAcentral describes it as "long non-coding RNA chr8:89056475-89057707". Lineage: Eukaryota; Metazoa; Chordata; Mammalia; Rodentia; Muridae. The record is from RNAcentral.
GUUAGUGAUGCUGGGCACAAGAGCCUUUAGCUUGAGUGGUUGGUUCAUCCUGCAGUAAGUACUUUCCGUUUCUGCUUGGCAAUCUUCUGUAGGUUCUCUGAGCUGACUUGGGAAUAAAAGUCUCCAUUGUCAUAUUUUUUCUAUUUUGUAUUCUUCUUAGUCUAAAUUUAAGGCCAUUGAGGAGUUUCCCCGUGCCCUCCCGCUGCCUAGCUGCUUUUCAUAGGAUAGUGAGGCUACGGUGCUCUGCCUACUCCUUCUGCAGCAUGUGUCAGGGGAAGAGAGGAGAGGACUCCUUUGGUUGCCUGUCUGUGUUACUUUACUGUUUACAUUUUCUCACUGAGACCGGGCUCUUUAGACCCACUCUUCUUACAUCAUCCAGACCAGUCACUUUCUUUCAUCAGAUGCAGGAGAAAGAACAUUUAAAAAGAAAUGGUACUUUAAGAAAUUAGUUUGGCAGAAAAAUCUUCCCCCUUUACUCCCAAGGGGUGGGGGGAAUGGAGAAAGAAUUGACAAGGUGUGACUUCUUCAUUUAAAUGAUUUAAUUUGGAAUUCAUAUCAAUCAACAGAGCAGAGGAUUCAAAACACAUUCCCUGGCAUCCCUGGAGCCAGGAUGAAACCCAGCCUCUGAAGGAGCAUUCUGUCAUGCAUUGCAUACAGGCGUACAAUGGAUCAGACCUGGGAGGAGGCCCUGCAUGCUGCCUCCUGAAAUGGUUUCUUUGCUGCAGGCCUGUUUGGGAGAUGUUUAUCAGAAAGGGGUGGACAGGUCUGCCAUGGACAGGCCCCAUUCUGUCUCCAGUGGCCUUUUAUUGCUAGUGAUAGGUGCCAUCAGUGUCUUGCCUGAGAAAUGGCCGUGCUGCAGGCACCUCUGUCAGAGCAUCUUAUUGAUCUGUGCUCCGCCUCUCUUCCAGGGUAGUAAAAAGGCAGAGACUGCUGGCAGGAGCUGCUAUGGCACCGUGAGCUGCAGCUGAUCUCCGGGGUGAGUGCAAAGGUUACCAUCACUACAGCUGUUCCACCCAGAGUCACAGAGCCUCACUCUAGGACACAAGCUAGCCUGGACUGCACGAGGACCCUCCAGCAAGAUGAAUGGUGCUUCUGAAAAUUUUUUCCCCAUUGAGGUUGUAUGGCUGAAAUUCACUUUUCUCACCAUUGACCUAUUGGACCUUGAUAACAUAGAAUUAAAAGCGAUUAAUCUGGAAAUCUCCUUCAUAAAUAAUCCUUCUUGACCCCCCAGC